GUGAAUCAUCAAAUUUUUGAACGCAAAUUGCACUCCCUGGUAUUCCGGGGAGUAUGCCUGUUUGAGGGUCGUUAGAAUAAAAAAUCGAGGCGUCGCUCUUUUUUUUAAGGGUGAUCGCGUCGGAAUUGAGUCGUCUUUACCUUUGGUUUUAAGUGACUUAAAAUUAUGUACGAUUUCUGAACGUAUUUAAAUUAUUUACUUACGCUCAUGAUAUCACAUAUUAGGUGCGGUCAUCCACAUGAUUUCGCGCCUAUAAUUUUUCAUUAUUUGACCUCAAAUCAGGUAAGAAUACCCGCUGAA
This 300-nucleotide unclassified non-coding RNA is filed under the name Glomeraceae sp. RNAcentral's name for it is "partial contains 5.8S ribosomal RNA, internal transcribed spacer 2, and large subunit ribosomal RNA". The stretch from base 1 to 71 matches the Rfam family "5.8S ribosomal RNA", at positions 84 to 154 of the family's 154-position model. Lineage: Eukaryota; Fungi; Glomeromycota; Glomeromycetes; Glomerales; Glomeraceae. The record is from RNAcentral.